UGACUUUAAAGGACUUUAUUUUCAGGUUAGCAUUUCCUUGCAUGGCAACAGCUCAAAUUCAGACAAGAAGAAUCUCAUUAGAGUGAAAGUGGCUGGUAAAUGUCACUCCUGAUAUUAUGCCAUAGACAGAAGACUAAUUUAUUAAAAAGCUAAGAUUUCCACUUGGAAUUUUUUGGAUUUUCUGCUAGUGAGUCUCAUCAAACAAUCCCAGUGACAAACCAGGUACCCAGGAUUAUUACAUCACUGUGAAGUUAGCAGUGAUUGGCAAGUUUGCAGGGUUUUUUGCCCCUUCAUUUACAUGUACUUCUAGACAAGGAAGCUGAACUUAACAAAGUGCUUCCUAACCACUCGCUGGGCAUGGCUCUUUGUCUCACAAGCAAGUUCAAUGCUGGGAACUUUUCCAGCACUGCCCACAAAGAAAACAAGGAAAAACCGUGGUAGGUCACACCGAGACAAGAAAUGCAGCUUGGACAAAAUCCUGGGAUCCUCCCCUCAGUAACUAGCAUUUAUGAAGAUAAAAAUAUUGACAUAAAUUAUUAUCCUCCUUUGAAAUAAAUCAACUUUCAAGAAAAGGUACUUCAUAGUAGUUACAGCAACAUUAACUCGAAUUCUGGAACCAAUUACAGUGACAGCGCUUUCUAGCUGUAAUCUAGGAAAACAAUCAAGAUAGAUAGUUUUAACUCUGCUUUUCUGCUCUCCCAGUUAAUGAAUGUUGCUGCAUCCUGACCAAUGCACACAGCAGCCCAACCCUGCUAACAAUAGAUCCCAGUUUUGUGAGUGUUGUGUAGACUGCCCCAUCUCCAACCCUAUCGAUACUAUAACUAAAAUGUAGUAUUUCAUUUUCUUAAACUCAGGUUCUCUUAAGUCUCACCAGGAUUCAACACUACUGUGGAGGGCAUCUCAAGCACAUUAUCCUCAACGGCCAGUAUCUUAUUUACGAAACUGCCAACCUAUUUACAUCCUUUCAGAUUUGCAAAGAGGGAUCAAUCAGCGGUCUUGGGGGCAGAAGGGGAAGGGGCAUUAUGGCUUUUUAGUUUGGUUUGGGUUUUUUGCAUUGCUUCUAAUGUUUAGGAGGGAAUCAGAACAGCAGGAAGCUCUGAAAUUUUGAUCCUUUAUCAUUUUUCCUGUUACAAGAUAAGGGCCUAAUGCUACAGUUGUCUUAACAGGGUGUAAGGUCAGGGCCCAAGGCCACUGAUCACGUCUCUAUUCCUGGAGCUCUGAAUAGCAGAUGCUGACGAUGACAAAAGCCUUCCCCAGGCACCAAGCUGGAGCAGCAAACGUGAAAUGCAGCUGAGUUUCAGUUCCAGCAUCUGAUGCAAUACUGUGGUAAGCUUUCUAAAGGAGACGUCAUGGAUCUCUCUCUUCCAUGUGUGCUCUUACAUGCAUGGCAGGAGGAUCCAGGAUAUGUUUCCUGGACAGGGCCAGGAGACAAUAUUCACAAAAACGUACUAAUUGGACCCAGUAUCAUUUUUAAAGGACUGUCCUUUUCUCAAAGCAAUUUCCUUGCAAUAAAAGCAGGUUGUGACAGUAACAAAAAUACAAUCUACUAAUCCUUUAAAAUUGUUCUCAGGUCUACACUCCAGUGUUGAUCAGGACAAGGCAUCUGACAGCAAGAACCUGUCUUAUGUCAGAUGACACCUAUUGCAAGAGGCCUCUAUCUUCAAGACCUUUCAGUUUCAGCUAACAAGGUUUGCUAGCAUUGCUGAUCUCCAACUCCUCUGGAAAGCUGCUGUUAACUUUAAAGCUUUUAAAUUAAGGGUUUUGUCUUCUGGUAAUACAGCCAUACUAUUUAAACCCAUUUUAAAAUAGUUGUGUGCUAAGAGGUAUGCUCUUGGAUUCAACUUGCAUGCUGUACCUCAUACCGGUAACUCAGCCAAGACCUUACUCAUGGGUGUAAGUACCACCAUAAAUCUGGGCAUUCCAGACAAGGACUUACAUAUUUUAGAGUCUGGCUGGCAGAAAGACACACACAAAGUUGAUAUAUUUACUUACUGAAUACCUGAUGCAAUUAAAUAAGGUUGAAGAAAAGCCUUAAAGGUGAAAUGUCAGUGAUGUUCGUUCCUGCUUUGGGUGACUGAUUGGGGUUUUUUUUCAGCUGCAGUAAGGUUUUAUCUGGUAAAGCUCCUUUAAAUAGCAUGCAUAUGGAAUUGAUUCAGUCAGGGAACAUAAAGCCUCAUGAAAGAGGGAAGGAAAAAAAAAAAGUCGUGAAUGAAGCAGAACCAAGCACUUCUUCAUCAGAAAAAGGACUUUCAUGGUCAGAUCUGGCACUUUUCCUGAAGGAAAAGAAAAUAAGAAUAAUCAAACUAACCUAAUUCCUAACAGUCACUGGCGGUUAUCAAAGCAGGGAGGUCAUUCCUGGCACACAGCAAAUUUUGUGUCUGGCUCUGCUUAGUGCUCUGCACAUCAUUUUAUUUUGUUAGUUUUCUUCUUUGACCUUGCCCACCUUGCUACAAUGAAAGUUCACUUGGCAGCUGACGAGGAAAAGAAGACCAAUUGUAAAGCUGAGUGACUAAGCAAGAAAAUACAUGCAAACCGAUCUGAAGGUCUUGGAAAACCCAAGCAUGGGUUUACUCUGCUCAACGACAGGUUAAGCAAAAAAGGGUAAAAGAACCUGAAAGCUUUCACACUCAACAUCCAG
RNAcentral lists this long non-coding RNA (2638 nucleotides) under Strigops habroptila (Kakapo). RNAcentral's name for it is "lncRNA (ENSSHBG00005001893.1)". The record is from RNAcentral. Lineage: Eukaryota; Metazoa; Chordata; Aves; Psittaciformes; Psittacidae.